RNAcentral lists this long non-coding RNA (174 nucleotides) under Gorilla gorilla gorilla (western lowland gorilla). RNAcentral describes it as "lncRNA (ENSGGOG00000044310.1)". Lineage: Eukaryota; Metazoa; Chordata; Mammalia; Primates; Hominidae. The record is from RNAcentral.
GCGGUUUUGGAGUUAACAGUGGCAGCCAAAAAAGCCUUGAGAGAAGAACAUCAAAGAAUACAAACUAAAGAGAAUUGAAAAAUUCUUUGGGGAGUGUGGAAUCAAGAAAACAGCACAGAUUUCUCAGCCAGAACACCAUUACUUGCUAGCUGUGGCCCCUGCACAAGCUCUUUG